Long non-coding RNA from Uranotaenia lowii, 906 nucleotides. RefSeq lists it as uncharacterized. Lineage: Eukaryota; Metazoa; Arthropoda; Insecta; Diptera; Culicidae. The transcript has 2 exons. The record is from RefSeq and is a predicted model, not a curated record.
GCAAUUGAGUUUAUUGAUGAUUGGCAGAUUAUUUCACUACUGUCAACGGCUUUAAGUAUUGAACCGGAUGCGUUUUUCCUGAUGAUUUUCAUCAUUGAUUGGGGUUGAAAUUUAUUGUUUCAACAUUUCUUGGCUUAGUUGAAUGAAAUGAAGGGUUUUAUUCGGGUAGUCGUCACACAAAGGGAUGAAUAAUAAUUGAGUGAGUCAUAACAACUGCGACGAAUUCGUUAGAUUUGUUUUCAUUAUUUCACUAGCUGGCAUUCAUUAUCAACACUCUAUACGACUGCAUACAAUCAAACAGUUCAACUCACUCAAGAGAACUAGGAAUUAUUUUAAUCAACUUAUCAGUAUGAAGAUCAUUGUUACGAAAAACAGUUUUGUUCCUCGAUUGAGCUCCCGUUUCAUCUAAUAAGUUCCAUUGAAUUUAACCAUUUCAAAGGGCGUUCCUUAGAAUAUUUUACAAUGGUUACCAAAUUAGUUUUGGUGAUCUCGGCCAUAUGCAUAGUGUGGGCUACCCCAACGACGUCAACACCUGCGUUCCAUGAUUGCGGACGAAGAUUGAUAACGGAUCUGGCAUUAGUUUGCUCAUAUAACAACGAAGAAAUUGAGAUGCCACCGAAUGAUGCGCCAGAGCCAAGUUUCGAACAGAAUUCAGUAAAAUCGGCGGAGGAUCACGGGUUUAUUGAUUCCGAGCAUGCACGUUUUCGCAGAGGAGUAGUCGCAGAUUGUUGUCAUACCGAGUGUAGCUAUGUGGUUUUAAAAUCCUACUGCCAUAUGUUUCGUUAAGAGAUUUGCUUCGAUUGUUUUAUAUUGUUUCACUUUUUGCUAAAUCAUUUCGAUAUCAGUUUGAACAACUAGAAUUUUUUUCAUUGAAUUAGACAAAGAUAAAGUUCAUAUUUGAAAUUA